ACCUGGGUGGCUCAGUUGGUUGAGCAUCUGACUCUUGAUUUCAGCUCAGGUCUUGAUCUCUCAGUUUGUGGGUUCAAGCCCCACUUCAGGCU
This 92-nucleotide transfer RNA is filed under the name Felis catus (domestic cat). It matches the Rfam family "tRNA". From Rfam's summary of the family: Transfer RNA (tRNA) molecules are approximately 80 nucleotides in length. Their secondary structure includes four short double-helical elements and three loops (D, anti-codon, and T loops). Lineage: Eukaryota; Metazoa; Chordata; Mammalia; Carnivora; Felidae. The record is from Rfam by way of RNAcentral.